Long non-coding RNA from Gadus macrocephalus (Pacific cod), 1899 nucleotides. RefSeq lists it as uncharacterized. The record is from RefSeq and is a predicted model, not a curated record. Lineage: Eukaryota; Metazoa; Chordata; Actinopteri; Gadiformes; Gadidae. The transcript is spliced from 3 exons.
GCAGACAGUUAAGUGUUUCAUAUAGCUGCAUCUUACAACCUGCUUUCACAUUUAAGCAUAAUUGUGCUAAUUUUGUUUGUUUUCCACCCUGUAGAUCCGGUAUAUCACAGCCAUCCCUCAGAGCCCUAAUGCCCAGCGUUUUGAAUGGCAUCAUACAUAUGGGCAGUCGAUACAUAAGGUUUCCCUACACAGUGGAAGAACAGGCCGAGAUUAAAAGGCAAUUUGCAGCAAUGUCCGAUUUCCCAAACGUAAUCGGCGCAAUUGACUGCACUCAUAUUGCUAUAAGGGCUCCAUCUGAACAUGAGUUCGCUUACGUCAACCGCAAGCACGUGCACACUAUUAAUGUUCAAGUUGUAUGUGAUGCCCAUAUGAACUUCACAAACAUAGUGGCACGUUGGCCUGGUGCAACACAUGAUUCAUUUAUUCUGACGCACAGUAGUGUAGGGAACAGACUACAGGCAGGCGCGGGGCGGGAUGGCUGGCUUCUAGGGGACAGUGGAUACCCCCUGAGACGCUGGCUCCUCACCCCAGUUUUGAACGCGCAAAGCGCCGAGGAACAACGUUAUAAUGAGGUCCAUGGCCGUGCUCGUUCAGUGGUGGAGCGCGCCAUCGGCCUCCUGAAGUGCCGGUGGCGCGCUCUGGAUGCGUCGGGGGGGAGGCUUUUAUACCAGCCUGCCAAAGUGUGCCACAUUAUAAGGGCUUGCGGCGUGCUGCACAAUUUGUCCCAGAGGAACGGCAUCCCUCUCCCCCCCGACCUCCCUCCCCCCGAGCUUGACCCGGAGACCCAGCCCCCUCCGAGGCAAGUCGGAUUUCAACAGGGUGCAAGAGUACGUGCGGAUGUCAUGCGGCGUUUAUGAGAUGAAGACGACUCAAGCUGCAGAACUUCGUCUGUGAGGACCCGACCAGCGGACUGACGCUUGGUGCUGGGGGUUGGGGCAGCCGGAUGACCUGCGGCCGAGGGCCCCUCGCCGGCAUCAUCUUCCUCCUCCCCACCGACCGCUGACUCUGGAGGACGCACAAGCAAAAUAGCUUGCACUAGGCCUACAUGAUCGAUAAUAAAUCUAUAAAAAACAGAAAUCAGCUUUACCUUGUUCUUCUGUGUUGUCAGUGUCCCCUUCCCUUUCGGACACGAUGCCACUCACGCUUGCGGUGCCAAUGAUGGAUGCAACUUGCCUGUCAAUCGGGGUUAGGUCAGGAGUACUGGGUCCCCCUCCAGUUGCAGUCACGCUCUGGCGUUGCGAGGACAGCCUCUGCUUUGCACCCACCUGUAAUUAACGAUCUUCACUAUACGACCAGUUACAUUUGAGCAAUUAAUUAUAAACGUGCUGUGCGUGAGGAAAUAAAAAUGUACCUUUAUGUCGGACCACUUCUUUUUCAAUUCGGGUACUGUCCGCUCCGUACCACUGACAGCGUUCACUGCCGCAGCAACAUGUUGCCACUCAUUCUUUUUUUUAAUAUUGGUGAUCCCGAUUCCGUGACCGCCGAACAAAAUUUAUUUUCGGGCCUCCACCUCACCCACAAGUGUCUCCACCUCAACCUCCGUGAAGUUUCUUUUUUUGGUUUUUCUCUGUCCUGCCAUUGUCUCCAAGUUCCAACAAGACAUAAUACCGGCACCUGAGUCUGUUUUAUAUGCAGAUCGCAUUCAUGAGGUCAUUUGCAUUGACCAUUUAUGGUUAAAAAGGGGCGUGUAGAGGGCAGAACGUGAAGCUGAUUCAGCUGCGCACAAUUGUAGUCAGUAUGUGAUUUAUAAAGCAACGAUUGCGUACAGGUGUGCGUACGCAGUGUUUUAUAAAUCCGAAUAUUUUUUGGCGCACGCAAAACUUGGCUUCUGGGCGUACGCACAUUUUUAGUAACGAUCCCACGCACAGUUUUAUAAAUGAGACCCCUGGUCUUUACAAU